AGAACGAACGCUGGCGGCGCGUUUAAGCAUGCAAGUCGAGCGGCAAGGGCCUUCGGGCCCCUAGAGCGGCGGACGGGUGAGUAACACGUGGACAAUCUGCCCCCCGGCCCGGGAUAGCCCAGGGAAACCUGGAUUAAUACCGGAUGAGACGGGACCCGCGAUGGCGGGACCCGGGAAGGCGCUGCGGCGCCGCCGGGGGAUGAGUCUGCGUCCCAUUAGCUAGACGGCGGGGUAACGGCCCACCGUGGCGACGAUGGGUAGCCGGCCUGAGAGGGUGGACGGCCACAUUGGAACUGAGACACGGUCCAGACUCCUACGGGAGGCAGCAGCUAAGAAUCUUCCGCAAUGGGCGAAAGCCUGACGGAGCGACGCCCGCGUGAACGAAGAAGGCCGUGAGGUUGUAAAGUUCUUUUCGGGAGGGGGAACAACCGUGGCAGGGAAUGGCCGCGGGAUGACGUGAAUCCCGGAAUAAGCCCCGGCUAACUACGUGCCAGCCGCUGC
Molecule: ribosomal RNA, 501 nt
Filed under: uncultured bacterium
Lineage: Bacteria
Description: bacterial SSU rRNA
Rfam family: Bacterial small subunit ribosomal RNA
Source: RNAcentral